CACUCAGGGAUCUGGUUAAAAUGCAUAGGCCCCAUAGGUCUAGGGCCUGAAAUUCUGCAUUUCUAACAAGCUCCCCGGGGAUG
Molecule: microRNA precursor, 83 nt
Filed under: Dipodomys ordii (Ord's kangaroo rat)
Lineage: Eukaryota; Metazoa; Chordata; Mammalia; Rodentia; Heteromyidae
Description: miRNA (ENSDORG00000022787.2)
Source: RNAcentral